UGGGAGCCCCACCACUAAGCCAGUGGUGAACUCCACAUACGCAUCCUUUGCUGAGGAUACGGUUAACGGAGCGAAAGCGACGUUCAACCGCAAAAGAAGCAGAGGGGGCUUAGUGGUGGGGUGACUGCGUACCUUUUGUAUAAUGGGUCAGCGACUUAUAUUCUGUAGCAAGGUUAACCGAAUAGGGGAGCCGGAGGGAAACCGAGUCUUAACCGGGCGUUAAGUUGCAGGGUAUAGACCCGAAACCCGGUGAUCUAGCCAUGGGCAGGUUGAAGGUUGGGUAACACUAACUGGAGGACCGAACCGACUAAUGUUGAAAAAUUAGCGGAUGACCUGUGGCUGGGGGUGAAAGGCCAAUCAAACCGGGAGAUAGCUGGUUCUCCCCGAAAGCUAUUUAGGUAGCGCCUCGUGAAUUCAUCUCCGGGGGUAGAGCACUGUUUCGGCUAGGGGGCCAUCCCGGCUUACCAACCCGAUGCAAACUGCGAAUACCGGAGAAUGUUAUCACGGGAGACACACGGCGGGUGCUAACGUCCGUCGUGAAGAGGGAAACAACCCAGACCGCCAGCUAAGGUCCCAAAGUCAUGGUUAAGUGGGAAACGAUGUGGGAAGGCCCAGACAGCCAGGAUGUUGGCUUAGAAGCAGCCAUCAUUUAAAGAAAGCGUAAUAGCUCACUGGUCGAGUCGGCCUGCGCGGAAGAUGUAACGGGGCUAAACCAU
This 716-nucleotide ribosomal RNA is filed under the name Salmonella enterica. RNAcentral's name for it is "bacterial LSU rRNA". It matches the Rfam family "Bacterial large subunit ribosomal RNA", at positions 1 to 1190 of the family's 2925-position model. The record is from RNAcentral. RNAcentral also lists the same sequence under 1 other name. Lineage: Bacteria; Pseudomonadati; Pseudomonadota; Gammaproteobacteria; Enterobacterales; Enterobacteriaceae.